RNAcentral lists this ribosomal RNA (498 nucleotides) under uncultured bacterium. Its description in RNAcentral is "partial 16S ribosomal RNA". It matches the Rfam family "Bacterial small subunit ribosomal RNA", at positions 30 to 523 of the family's 1533-position model. The record is from RNAcentral.
AUUGAACGCUGGCGGCAUGCCUUACACAUGCAAGUCGAACGGUAACAGGUCUUCGGAUGCUGACGAGUGGCGAACGGGUGAGUAAUACAUCGGAACGUGCCUAGUAGUGGGGGAUAACUACUCGAAAGAGUGGCUAAUACCGCAUGAGAUCUACGGAUGAAAGCAGGGGAUCGCAAGACCUUGUGCUACUCGAGCGGCCGAUGGCAGAUUAGGUAGUUGGUGGGAUAAAAGCUUACCAAGCCGACGAUCUGUAGCUGGUCUGAGAGGACGACCAGCCACACUGGGAGUGAGAGACGGCCAAGACUCCUACGGGAGGCAGCAGUGGGGAAUUUUGGACAAUGGGCGCAAGCCUGAUCCAGAAAUGCCGCGUGCAGGAUGAAGGCCUUCGGGUUGUAAACUGCUUUUGUACGGAACGAAAAGCCCCGGGUUAAUACCCUGGGGUCAUGACGGUACCGUAAGAAUAAGCACCGGCUAACUACGUGCCAGCCGCCGCCGUAA